Molecule: ribosomal RNA, 518 nt
Filed under: uncultured bacterium
Lineage: Bacteria
Description: bacterial SSU rRNA
Rfam family: Archaeal small subunit ribosomal RNA
Source: RNAcentral
AAACUUCACACUGGGGGGCACCCCGAUGAGGGAAAUCCUAGUGCUAGGACAUUUGUUCUAGCUUUUCUCAAGCGUAGAUAACUUGAGGAAUAAGGGCUGGGUAAGACGGGUGCCAGCCGCCGCGGUAAUACCUGCAGCCCAAGUGGUGGUCGAUUUUAUUGAGUCUAAAACGUUCGUAGCCGGUUUGGUAAAUCUUUGGGUAAAUCGGGAGGCUCAACUUUCCGACUUCCGAAGAGACUGUCAAACUUGGGACCGGGAGAGGCUAGAGGUACUUCUGGGGUAGGGGUAAAAUCCUGUAAUCCUAGAAGGACCACCGGUGGCGAAGGCGUCUAGCUAGAACGGAUCCGACGGUGAGGGACGAAGCCCUGGGUCGCAAACGGGAUUAGAUACCCCGGUAGUCCAGGGUGUAACGCUGCCGACUUGGUGUUGGAGACCCUUCGGGGCAUUCAGUGCCGGAGAGAAGUUGUUAAGUCGGCUACUUGGGGAGUACGUCCGCAAGGGAGAAACUUAAAGGAAUU